GAUUCUGGCUCAGAACGAACGCUGGUGGCGUGCUUAUACAUGCAAGCGAGCGAGGCAGCAAUGCCGAGCGGCGAACGGGUGAGUAACGCGUAAGCAAUCUGCCCCAUAUCAGGAAAUACCCGUGCCAACGCGCGGUUAAUGUCCAGGAGAGUGGCCCCCUGCAUGGAGGGUUGACUAGAGAUUUAUCGGUAUGGGAUGAGCUUGCGUCCGAUUAGCUAGUUGGCGGGCAACGGCCCACCAAGGCGACGAUCGGUAGCCGGCCUGAGAGGGUGAUCGGCCACAUUGGGACUGAGAUACGGCCCAGACUCCUACGGGAGGCAGCAGUAGGGAAUAUUGCACAAUGGGGGAAACCCUGAUGCAGCAACGCCCACGUGUGGGAAGAAGCAUUUCGGUGUGUAAACCACUGUCAUGAGGGAAUAAGGCCGUUUCCGACGGACCUUGAUGUACCUUGAGAGGAAGCACCGGCAAACUUCGUGCCAGCCGCGGC
RNAcentral lists this ribosomal RNA (487 nucleotides) under uncultured bacterium. RNAcentral's name for it is "bacterial SSU rRNA". It matches the Rfam family "Bacterial small subunit ribosomal RNA", at positions 15 to 518 of the family's 1533-position model. The record is from RNAcentral.